ACCGUCGCGUGCGGUGCGGCUUCAAUCCGAGGGGCUUCCGCCUCCUGGCGCACCUUCCCCGGUGCCAGGCGGUACCCGCGGAUUGAAACCACGGCGCACGCGACGCGCCAU
Molecule: non-coding RNA, 111 nt
Filed under: Micropruina glycogenica
Lineage: Bacteria; Bacillati; Actinomycetota; Actinomycetes; Propionibacteriales; Nocardioidaceae
Description: mraW
Rfam family: mraW RNA
Source: RNAcentral